Belonocnema kinseyi is the source of this 1288-nucleotide long non-coding RNA. RefSeq lists it as uncharacterized. The transcript is spliced from 4 exons. The record is from RefSeq and is a predicted model, not a curated record. Lineage: Eukaryota; Metazoa; Arthropoda; Insecta; Hymenoptera; Cynipidae.
UCGAUGUAUAUGCAAUCUUUUUUUAAAUCGUGUAUUUAUCUGAUAGUGAAAUUCAGGUCCAAUAUGGACUAAAGGGUAAUCAAUCUUCAACGAACUCUACAGUGACAGUUCAAAAAAUUGAAAAGAGCGAUGUUCUGUCUUGAGGUUAAUCUUGAAAGGAAAGUUUUUCCAUGUGAAAAAAGACGUGAUGAAUAAGGAAAUAUCAAUGCUGAAUGUGUUAUUUACAAGAAAAUCCUUGACGAUACUCUGACUGCCACAACCGAUUUUUAAAAGCACCUAAAGGAUCUCCAAACUAGCACAAACCAUAGAAAACGAAAACUUGUUACAGUUAUGGAAAGUAGUGGAAAAAUGACAUAAUACAAUUAAACACUGAUCGUUGGAUUGUUGAUUUUAUCAUACAAACCGUGAGUUCCCAAGUUUUUCUUGAACACGAAGCAUCUACAAGUUUAAUUAAUGGUCAUUGGUAAGACAACAGUACAGUAAGCAGAUUAAAUGUUUAGGAACAAGCAAAAUGAAGGCUAUUAUUAGUAGAAAAACACUUGGUAUACGGACCAAUGAAAUUUAUUCAUCACAUACACAAGUCAUGAUAGGACAAAGUCAGUCGGACAAAUACAUAUGUACUUCGGCAGAUAUAGGUAGCAGCUCAAAAGGAGAUCAACAAUGAUUUAGGAAGACAGGUUGUCGCAUUAUCUUGUAGAUGGUCUGAAAGAAGUCACACAUAUCAUAAAAGUACUGAAUUGAUUAAUGAAAUCCGUAUUGAGUUUGUAGACAAGAACAAACGGAAAAUAAGGAAGACUGUUACGAACAAUGGAUCAAAUAUGAACUCAGUGAUGACGAUGAAGAUAAAGUAAAGUUGAAUUCCAUUUAUGAUAUUCUUGAAAGUAGUGAACGAGACUUCAAUUCGGAUUUAUCAGAUCACCAGCGUUGUGAUUGUCACACUUAAAACCUGAUAGCUGCUACAGACUCUAAAAAUUUCUUAGAAAACAACAAUUCUGAGUAUACAAGAUUGCAUCAUUCGGCAUUCGGGAAAUGUUCUGAAAUCUUGAAUUUUACAUCAAGAUCACCAAAGGCAGCAGAACCUUAUUUUGAAAUAACAGGAAAAUAUCAAAAAUCACCUUUCCCAACUCAUUGGAAUAGUACUUUUGAUUGUUUGGAGGAUCCUAAGCAGGUUAGGAGCAAACUCAACUCUAUGUAUGAUGCCUUAAAAUUGCCUAGGUUCGAAGAAAACAAAUCAGAGUUUCUGUCAUAUUUUCAAAAUAAAUACUUAAAAUCUUCCCAAUCGGUAUUU